GCGAGAGUGGCGGAACUGGUAGACGCAGUCGGCUCAAAAUCGACCGCCGCAAGGCAUAGGGGUUCGAGUCCCCUCUUUCGCACCA
RNAcentral lists this transfer RNA (85 nucleotides) under Parasaccharibacter apium. Its description in RNAcentral is "tRNA-Leu". It matches the Rfam family "tRNA". Rfam says of the family: Transfer RNA (tRNA) molecules are approximately 80 nucleotides in length. Their secondary structure includes four short double-helical elements and three loops (D, anti-codon, and T loops). Lineage: Bacteria; Pseudomonadati; Pseudomonadota; Alphaproteobacteria; Acetobacterales; Acetobacteraceae. RNAcentral also lists the same sequence under 21 other names. The record is from RNAcentral.